GAGGAGUGGGACAAACUAGCACAGAACCCAUUUCUUGCCUUUUACCAGAGAUGGCCGUGGUUUGCCCACAAUACUCCUCUACUCAAUCUUUGGACCACAACGCUUCGACAUAGCUGUCGAU
This 121-nucleotide small nuclear RNA is filed under the name Penicillium decumbens. RNAcentral describes it as "U5 spliceosomal RNA". It matches the Rfam family "U5 spliceosomal RNA". Rfam says of the family: U5 RNA is a component of both types of known spliceosome. The precise function of this molecule is unknown, though it is known that the 5' loop is required for splice site selection and p220 binding, and that both the 3' stem-loop and the Sm site are important for Sm protein binding and cap methylation. The record is from Rfam by way of RNAcentral. Lineage: Eukaryota; Fungi; Ascomycota; Eurotiomycetes; Eurotiales; Aspergillaceae.